GUAGUCUCGCACAGAUGCAUAUCAAUAAGCGGAGGAAAAGAAACUAACAAGGAUUCCCCUAGUAACGGCGAGUGAAGCGGGAAGAGCUCAAAUUUGAAAUCUUAAAGGGUUUCCCUUUACGAAUUGUAGUUUAAAGAAGUGUUUUCUGUUGAGGUUUUGGUAAAAGUUCUUUGGAAUAGGACAUCAUAGAGGGUGAGAAUCCCGUAUUUGACCUUUACUUUCAACUUUGUGAUACACUUUCAAAGAGUCGGAUUGUUUGGGAAUGCAGUCCAAAAUGGGUGGUAAAUUUCAUCUAAAGCUAAAUAUUGGCGAGAGACCGAUAGCGAACAAGUACCGUGAGGGAAAGAUGAAAAGAACUUUGAAAAGAGAGCUAAACAGUACGUGAAAUUGUCAAAAGGGAAGCGUUUGACACCAGUGUUGUUUUUCUGAAAAUCAAUUAAAGAACUGUUUAUGCUAAGCUGUUUAGACUUUAUCAGCUAUCUGUUUAGUUUUGAGCUUUUCUUUAAUGCACUUUUCAGUUAACAAGUCAACAUCAAUUUCUUUUGCUGUAAAAAAGCUUGAGGAAGGUGGCUUGAGAUUCGUCUUAAGUGUUUAUAGCCUCUUGCCUAUGCAGUCGGAGAGAUUGAGGUCUGCAGCGUAGAUCCUUCGGGGCUAAAUGCAUUUGUGCUAAGUUAUAGCAUUUUAUAGACAACUUGUUGACUAUGAUUUGUCUUGUAGCUUACUCACUUAUGUUCAUUUUACCUACGCUUAGGAUGUUGACGCAUGAGAUAUACGC
RNAcentral lists this ribosomal RNA (775 nucleotides) under uncultured Neocallimastigales. RNAcentral's name for it is "partial large subunit ribosomal RNA". It matches the Rfam family "Eukaryotic large subunit ribosomal RNA", at positions 24 to 647 of the family's 3401-position model. The record is from RNAcentral. Lineage: Eukaryota; Fungi; Neocallimastigomycota; Neocallimastigomycetes; Neocallimastigales.